This 254-nucleotide ribosomal RNA is filed under the name uncultured bacterium. Its description in RNAcentral is "partial 16S ribosomal RNA". It matches the Rfam family "Bacterial small subunit ribosomal RNA", at positions 524 to 776 of the family's 1533-position model. The record is from RNAcentral.
UACGUAGGGAGCAAGCGUUGUCCGGAUUUAUUGGGCGUAAAGAGCGCGUAGGCGGCUCGGUAAGCCGGAUGUGAAACCUCCAAGCUCAACUUGGAGCGGCCAUUCGGAACUGCUGUGGCUAGAGUCUGGUAGGGGAACACGGAAUUCCUGGUGUAGCGGUGAAAUGCUUAGAUAUCAGGAGGAACACCAGUGGCGAAGGCGGUGUUCUGGGCCAGUACUGACGCUGAGGCGCGAAAGCGUGGGGAGCGAACAGG